UCUUUCGAAUGAAAAUGAGUGGAAUAUAUAAAAAUAAGGAGCAUGGCGGUCCUUAAUCUCGUUAGAGGGGCAUGUGACUUUAAUUAAUAACGAAUUUGCACGAACAUCUGUCCUGAUCUUGAAUGGAUUUCAUUUUGUACACCGCUGUCUGAAAGAAAUUAUAAAAGUAUUUUCUCUCUUCUCUUAAAGAAAUAAGGCAAGUUAAGGUGCAGAUGAUGGUCAGGGAGUUAUGUGCUCCAGUAAAAAUUUAUAGGCUCUCAAGUGAAAUGUUGGUAAGAAAGAGAAUUUAAUAGUAAGAUUAGAAAUUUAGCUGAUCUGAAGAGGGGCUAUAAAGGGUGU
Molecule: ribosomal RNA, 339 nt
Filed under: Priceiella brutifrons
Lineage: Eukaryota; Metazoa; Arthropoda; Insecta; Psocodea; Philopteridae
Description: partial small subunit ribosomal RNA
Source: RNAcentral